GACUGAUCCAAGGGUUGUGAGUUACUUUUAGUGAUUGUUCAGAGUUACAGAUCAAACUGCUCUUUCCCCCAUCUCACUACUGAAUUUGACUGGUCUUAA
Molecule: unclassified non-coding RNA, 99 nt
Organism: Otolemur garnettii (small-eared galago)
Lineage: Eukaryota; Metazoa; Chordata; Mammalia; Primates; Galagidae
Rfam family: Y RNA
About the family: Y RNAs are components of the Ro ribonucleoprotein particle (Ro RNP), in association with Ro60 and La proteins. The Y RNAs and Ro60 and La proteins are well conserved, but the function of the Ro RNP is not known.
Source: Ensembl